CUAAUAUUUCUUCAUUGUAAUUUUUUUCUUCAAACUGUUGUUUUACCUUUUGGGUUUGCAACUCACAUAUUUCAGGAUCUGUGCAAUUCUUUUUGACUCUCAAAAAUUGGCUGAAUGGAAUAUUUGAUAGCCAUGAUGGAUAGUGACAGCUCGAUGUCCAAAUAUAACUGUUCACGUCUACACUCUUAAAAAAGGUCUUAGACUUAAGAGUGUUAUGUUGGUCAAUAUAAAGAACCAGAUCCAGGAAAUCUAUAUCCGUGGUGCUGUACUUAUAUGUGAAUGAUAAAUUGUGUUCGUUCUUGUUCAUAUAAGCU
Molecule: non-coding RNA, 314 nt
Organism: Pelobates cultripes (western spadefoot toad)
Lineage: Eukaryota; Metazoa; Chordata; Amphibia; Anura; Pelobatidae
Source: the annotation of a GenBank genome assembly